RNAcentral lists this transfer RNA (62 nucleotides) under Tubifex tubifex (sludge worm). RNAcentral describes it as "tRNA-Pro". Lineage: Eukaryota; Metazoa; Annelida; Clitellata; Tubificida; Naididae. The record is from RNAcentral.
UUUAAUAAAAACAGUGACUUUGGGUGUCAUAAAUCGCUACGGCGUCAUCUGAGGUCUGAAGG